RNAcentral lists this ribosomal RNA (253 nucleotides) under uncultured bacterium. RNAcentral's name for it is "partial 16S ribosomal RNA". It matches the Rfam family "Bacterial small subunit ribosomal RNA", at positions 524 to 776 of the family's 1533-position model. The record is from RNAcentral.
UACGUAGGGUGCGAGCGUUAAUCGGAAUUACUGGGCGUAAAGCGUGCGCAGGCGGUUCGUUGUGUCGGUGGUGAAAGCCCCGGGCUUAACCUGGGAAUGGCCAUGGAAACUGGCGAACUGGAGUGUGGCAGAGGGGGGUGGAAUUCCGCGUGUAGCAGUGAAAUGCGUAGAGAUGCGGAGGAACACCGAUGACGAAGGCAGCCCCCUGGGCUAGCACUGACGCUCAGGCACGAAAGCGUGGGGAGCAAACAGG